ACGUUGGCGGCGUGGAUUAGGCAUGCAAGUCGAAGCGCUCAUCAGCAAUGGUGGGAGCGGCGAACGGCGUAGUAAUGUGUAGGAACGUACCCUCUGGUCGGGGAUAGCUACGGGAAACUGUAGGUAAUACCCGAUGAUCUCUGUGGAGCAAAGGUGUGAUUCCGCCGGGGGAGCGGCUUACAUGAUAUUAGCUAGUUGGUGGGGUAAUGGCCUACCAAGGCUUAGAUGUCUAGGGGGUGUGAGAGCAUGGCCCCCACGACCGGAACUGAGAUACUGUCCGGACACCUACGGGUGGCUGCAGUCGAGAAUCUUCCGCAAUGGACGAAAGUCUGACGGAGCGACGCCGCGUGCGGGAUGAAGGCCCUUGGGUUGUAAACCGCUGUCAGAGGGGAUGAAAUCUCCGAGGGUUAUCCCUCGGAGUUGACAGAGCCUCAGAGGAAGCACGGGCUAAGUAUGUGCCAGCAGCCGCGGUAAUACAUACUGUGCGAACGUUAUUCGGAAUCACUGGGCUUAAAGGGUGCGUAGGCGGCGAUUCAAGUCAGAUGUGAAAUGCCUGAGCUCAACUGAGGCAUUGCGUUUGAAACUGGAUUGCUAGAGUGUCCCAGGGGUGUGCGGAACUGCCAGUGGAGCGGUGAAAUGUGUUGAUAUUGGCAGGAACACCGGAGGCGAAGCGGCACCUGGGGGAAACUGACGCUGAGGCACGAAAGCCAGGGGAGCGAACGGGAUUAGAUACCCCGGUAGUCUGGCUGUAACGAUGAGCACUGGGCGGGAGAAGUUCGC
RNAcentral lists this ribosomal RNA (780 nucleotides) under uncultured Planctomycetota bacterium. Its description in RNAcentral is "bacterial SSU rRNA". It matches the Rfam family "Bacterial small subunit ribosomal RNA", at positions 33 to 834 of the family's 1533-position model. Lineage: Bacteria; Pseudomonadati; Planctomycetota. The record is from RNAcentral.